RNAcentral lists this unclassified non-coding RNA (261 nucleotides) under Hevea brasiliensis (rubber tree). Lineage: Eukaryota; Viridiplantae; Streptophyta; Magnoliopsida; Malpighiales; Euphorbiaceae. The record is from RNAcentral.
GCAUAUUCAGACAUAAUUGUGGCAGAUAAGGGAUAAUCACCACCGAUACCAAAUCCAAGCCAGAACCUGAAGAAACAAAGAGUGGCAAUGGUACCCUCAGCAGUCCGUCCAAAGGAAAGCCCUGAGGCGAUGGAGCAAACAACCAUGAGAAUUAGAGUUAUCCCAUAGACUUUCUUCCUGCCCAAUUUGUCACCAAGCCAGCCAAAGAAGAGCUGGCCAGCUAAAGUGCCACAAAGUGCAACACCAUUAACAGCGGCUGCC